RNAcentral lists this microRNA precursor (152 nucleotides) under Myotis lucifugus (little brown bat). RNAcentral's name for it is "miRNA (ENSMLUG00000020510.1)". The stretch from base 51 to 102 matches the Rfam family "mir-1302 microRNA precursor family". Lineage: Eukaryota; Metazoa; Chordata; Mammalia; Chiroptera; Vespertilionidae. The record is from RNAcentral.
AAUAUAGAACAUCCAGUUAAAAUGAGAGUUUCAGGUAAAUAACAAAUAAUUUUUUUGCCUAAGUAUGUCCUAUGCAAUAUUUGGGACAUAUUUAAGCUAAAACAUUACUCUGGUUUGUGUGAAAUUCAAAUUUAACCGGACACUUAUAUUUU